CAAACGAGAUACUAAGAAAAUAUCUUCCUUUUUCUUUCAAAAAACUAAAAGUCUAAAUCUAAAAAGAAAAGAUCCAAACUCAAAACAAAAAAUGAAGAUUCAAAACGUAAUUUUGUAAACGGCGAUGCUUUCGGGAAAGUAAAGUUUGCAGGAGAUGGAGAAGUUAAAAUGGAUGAUAAAUGGUAGUGCUUGUUUCACCACAGCAAAAAUGUUAAGGUGCAACUAGAUGUUGGUUUUAAAAACCUAGUUCUUCUAGGACUACUUUAACUAUUUAGCUGUAGACAAACUUCCUGGCGGCCAACUACUUUAUCGGAAGUAUCUCCCAAAUGAGGAUAGGGUAGAUGGAUAUUUCCUGUUCGUGACGUGUCCAGAUGUCAAAGUAGUUUGAGGAGAAUUACCUAUAUAAGAUUUUAGGAAAAUCUUGGUUAAUCAACCUCGCGACUCACUGAUCCCUAGGCCAGAGCUCUAACCUAACUCGCGCACGCGUGGUUAAUGUUCACACGCGGGAUGAAAUUUACGAGACAAAAGGAACCGAAUCGAACGUCCGUCUAUGUGUCCCGGUAUUUCACUGUACUGUAGUCGGAAUAUCACCAAAUAUACCCUAGCACCCCAGGCGUGGUGAUGCUAAUGCGGCUGCUCCCUCGAUGGAUGAAGUUUGGUGUUGAGUGGC
Molecule: long non-coding RNA, 670 nt
Organism: Lucilia sericata (common green bottle fly)
Lineage: Eukaryota; Metazoa; Arthropoda; Insecta; Diptera; Calliphoridae
Exons: 5
Source: RefSeq, a predicted model, not a curated record